This 1437-nucleotide ribosomal RNA is filed under the name Lacticaseibacillus rhamnosus. RNAcentral describes it as "bacterial SSU rRNA". Lineage: Bacteria; Bacillati; Bacillota; Bacilli; Lactobacillales; Lactobacillaceae. The record is from RNAcentral.
CAGUCGAACGAGUUCUGAUUAUUGAAAGGUGCUUGCAUCUUGAUUUAAUUUUGAACGAGUGGCGGACGGGUGAGUAACACGUGGGUAACCUGCCCUUAAGUGGGGGAUAACAUUUGGAAACAGAUGCUAAUACCGCAUAAAUCCAAGAACCGCAUGGUUCUUGGCUGAAAGAUGGCGUAAGCUAUCGCUUUUGGAUGGACCCGCGGCGUAUUAGCUAGUUGGUGAGGUAACGGCUCACCAAGGCAAUGAUACGUAGCCGAACUGAGAGGUUGAUCGGCCACAUUGGGACUGAGACACGGCCCAAACUCCUACGGGAGGCAGCAGUAGGGAAUCUUCCACAAUGGACGCAAGUCUGAUGGAGCAACGCCGCGUGAGUGAAGAAGGCUUUCGGGUCGUAAAACUCUGUUGUUGGAGAAGAAUGGUCGGCAGAGUAACUGUUGUCGGCGUGACGGUAUCCAACCAGAAAGCCACGGCUAACUACGUGCCAGCAGCCGCGGUAAUACGUAGGUGGCAAGCGUUAUCCGGAUUUAUUGGGCGUAAAGCGAGCGCAGGCGGUUUUUUAAGUCUGAUGUGAAAGCCCUCGGCUUAACCGAGGAAGUGCAUCGGAAACUGGRAAACUUGAGUGCAGAAGAGGACAGUGGAACUCCAUGUGUAGCGGUGAAAUGCGUAGAUAUAUGGAAGAACACCAGUGGCGAAGGCGGCUGUCUGGUCUGUAACUGACGCUGAGGCUCGAAAGCAUGGGUAGCGAACAGGAUUAGAUACCCUGGUAGUCCAUGCCGUAAACGAUGAAUGCUAGGUGUUGGAGGGUUUCCGCCCUUCAGUGCCGCAGCUAACGCAUUAAGCAUUCCGCCUGGGGAGUACGACCGCAAGGUUGAAACUCAAAGGAAUUGACGGGGGCCCGCACAAGCGGUGGAGCAUGUGGUUUAAUUCGAAGCAACGCGAAGAACCUUACCAGGUCUUGACAUCUUUUGAUCACCUGAGAGAUCAGGUUUCCCCUUCGGGGGCAAAAUGACAGGUGGUGCAUGGUUGUCGUCAGCUCGUGUCGUGAGAUGUUGGGUUAAGUCCCGCAACGAGCGCAACCCUUAUGACUAGUUGCCAGCAUUUAGUUGGGCACUCUAGUAAGACUGCCGGUGACAAACCGGAGGAAGGUGGGGAUGACGUCAAAUCAUCAUGCCCCUUAUGACCUGGGCUACACACGUGCUACAAUGGAUGGUACAACGAGUUGCGAGACCGCGAGGUCAAGCUAAUCUCUUAAAGCCAUUCUCAGUUCGGACUGUAGGCUGCAACUCGCCUACACGAAGUCGGAAUCGCUAGUAAUCGCGGAUCAGCACGCCGCGGUGAAUACGUUCCCGGGCCUUGUACACACCGCCCGUCACACCAUGAGAGUUUGUAACACCCGAAGCCGGUGGCGUAACCCUUUUAGGGAGCGAGCCGUCU